This 430-nucleotide ribosomal RNA is filed under the name uncultured bacterium. Its description in RNAcentral is "bacterial SSU rRNA". It matches the Rfam family "Bacterial small subunit ribosomal RNA", at positions 355 to 775 of the family's 1533-position model. The record is from RNAcentral.
UGGGGAAUAUUGGGCAAUGGGCGAAGGCCAGACCCAGCGACGCCGCGUGGGUGAUGAAGGCCUUCGGGUUGUAAAAACCCUUUCGUGCGGAAAGAAUAGUCCUGUAGCGAAUAACUACGGGAUUUGACGGUACCGCAGGAAGAAGCACCGGCUAACUCCGUGCCAGCAGCCGCGGUAAUACGGAGGGUGCAAGCGUUGUUCGGAAUUAUUGGGCGUAAAGGGCGCGUAGGUGGUUGUGAUAGUCAGAUGUGAAAUCCUUCGGCUCAACCGAAGAACUGCAUCUGAAACUUCAUAGCUCGAGUACAGGAGAGGGAAACGGAAUUCCCGGUGUAGAGGUGAAAUUCGUAGAUAUCGGGAGGAACACCAGUGGCGAAGGCGGUUUCCUGGCCUGAUACUGACGCUGAGGCGCGAAAGCGUGGGGAGCAAACAG